Long non-coding RNA from Pan troglodytes (chimpanzee), 2545 nucleotides. RefSeq lists it as uncharacterized. NCBI's taxonomy places the organism in Eukaryota, Metazoa, Chordata, Mammalia, Primates, Hominidae. The record is from RefSeq and is a predicted model, not a curated record. The transcript has 4 exons.
UUGUUGCCUCUACUCCUCGGCACGGCACAGCCUGGGCUCUUUUCCCCCUCCCGCUUGGGAGUUUGCAGUGUGGACGCUCGGCGAGCACAGGUAGUUGUGAGGAAGAAAUGAGAUCAUCAGUGGCAGUGGCAGCAUCAGUUAUUUGUGGAGAAGGGGAAGUCUGGUCCUGCCUCAUCUCCACUGUCCCUCCAGGGCCCCACCAAGUGAAUAGAUGGAAGAAAAAGAUGAGUACUGGCUAGGUUGGUAAGCCAGAUAUCCACAUUAUCUCACAUCACAUCACUGAGCUCUGUGGCCCAGUUCUGACUACAUGUUGGAAGCAGAAGUCUGCAGGGGAUGGCUUCCGAGAAAACUUGUAUUUAUUAUUUAAAUUUAACCUUCUAGCCUGGGAAUAAAUUCCAGCUUGCUUAGAACAAUACAGCACAGAAAAGAGCCUGAGUUCCUGGUGCAUCCCUGUGCCAGUGUCUCAAUCCUACCCCACUGAUUUCCAAUUUCUUAUUAUGUGAGAAGCAACCCUCCCUUCUUUGAUUAAGUCAUUAUUGAUAGGGUUUUUUUGGUAACUUGCAUCCAAAUGCAUUCCUUAACUCAAACAAAAUAGAAGGGGAAUUCCACAUUCACACUGUUGCAUCAGACAAGCUCUGGCUUCUCAGAACUUUAGUUUUCCAUUUGCUAGAGCUCAGAAUCAAAGAGACAGUAAAGAAACCCAUUUAAAAAUUGCUUGGCAUAUAUAUCUUGGGUGAUGGGACUUCAUGGGUAAUAUUUUUAAAAUUUCUUUGUGUAUUUUUCUUUUAUUGUCAAACAUUAUUAAAGAGACCAUAGAUACCUUUUGUAAUUAUAAUAAAAAAGAAAAUGUUACUAAGAACAGUGAGAACUCUUAAGCUAACUACAAGAUAAUUAAUAUAUAACUGCAAAAUAUAAAAUACCAAAGCCAUUUACAAAUAAAGAAACAGAGCCACAUGAAACUUUGCAGUUUAGCCAAAGUCAUUUCAGGAUUCUGAAGCUAGGGAGGAAGCAAGGCUUACUUAGCCCGUGGCUAGAAUUCACUUUUGAAAACUCCAUUUUUGUCCAUUCCUUCUUAUCACUACUUGUUUGCAAGUUAGGAAACAAGUGAGAAAAAAAGCAUUGUUUGUCGUCAUUGGUCAAUGUUCAGUGCUUUACCAGAGGCUCGGGAUUAGAAGAUUCUCGGAACCAGUUAGCUCCUGAUACAAUCAGGCCUUGAUAUGGUUUGGAUUUGUGUCCCCACCCAAAUCUCAUUUCGAAUUAGAGGAGGGGCCUGGUGGGAGGUGAUUGGAUCAUGGGGGCAGAUUUCCCUCUUGCUGUUCUCAUGAUAGUGACUGAGUUCUCAAAGAUCUUAGGGUUUAAAACUUUUGUGGCACUUCCAUCUUCGCUCUCUCUUCCUCUCUCCUGCUGCCAUGUGAAGAAGGUGCCUGCUUCCCCUUUGCUUUCUGCCAUGAUUGUACGUUUCCUGAGGCCUCCCAAUUGUGCUUCCUGAUAAGCCUAUGGAACUGUGAGUCAAUUAAAUCUCUUUUCUAUAUAAAUAACCCAAUCUCAGGUAGUUCUUUAUAGUAGUGUACAAAUAGACUAAUACAGGCCUGAAUAAGUUGACAUCUAAAAGCCACCUGAAUUAUUUCUGGGAAUAGACUGAGGUACUUUCUGUUUUAAAAUUCUUGGCUUUUGUUACCCAGCCGAACUGGGGCCUGCUUGCCCAGUGCAGUAAGGCCAAACAUGCACACUGAGUUUAUGCAGUGGGAGAAAAGAGGGUGUUUUAUUUGCAGAGUGCCAAGCAAGGAGAAUACAGCAGCUCACACUUAAGACUCAAACUCCCCAAUGGCUUGCAGGUAAGGGUUUUUAACAGAAGGGAUAAAUUUCAGGAAAACAAGUUAUAGGCAAAAUCAUAAAUCAAUAUAUGGAAGUUAUACAUUGGUUUGGCCUAAAAAGGCAGAAUAUCUUGAAAUGGGGGCUUUCAGGUCAUAGACAGAUUCAAAGAUUUUCUGAUUUGCAAUUGGUUAAAGAAGGGAAUCUUUGUCUAAAGACUUGGAAUCAGCAGAAAAGAAUAUGAGAUCUGACUCAUGGUUGUUGCUUCCUCCACGCCCCUCAGAAAGAAACUUCGAACAACGCAUGGCAGUCAGAGUUCAGUCUACAGCCCCACCUCAUCUGAGGUCUCUGUGCCAGUGGGUCCAUUUGGUGGGGGUCUGAGUUUGUGAAAACUCAGGGACAUAUAUUACAACAUUAUCUUCACUUUCUAGAGCCUGUCUUGAAGGAGUACCACCUGUCUUCUGCCUACUAAUGAAAAUUGGAAUUCUCUGAGGAAAGUUCUGUCAUCUAGAAUCUUCUGACCAGUGGAUGAGUCAGCUCAGGGCCUCUUCUCUGCAUCUUCCUUGGACUCGGACUGUGGGAAGCCCUGUGGAAAGCAGGAUGAUCUAACAGCAGGAUAAAGAUUAUUUUCAUUAUCAUGUCCCAUGGCUAAAAAUUACCCACUCCUUUCCCUUCUUAAACUGGGAUCCUCAACUUGGAAUCUCUGGCUAUUAAUAAAGUCUGGAGAGAGCAA